GCCUACGGGGGGCAGCAGUAGGGAAUAUUGCUCAAUGGGGGAAACCCUGAAGCAGCAACGCCGCGUGGAGGAUGAAGGUUUUCGGAUUGUAAACUCCUUUUGUUAGAGAAGAUAAAGACGGUAUCUAACGAAUAAGCACCGGCUAACUCCGUGCCAGCAGCCGCGGUAAUACGGAGGGUGCAAGCGUUACUCGGAAUCACUGGGCGUAAAGAGCGCGUAGGCGGGAUAGCAAGUCAGAUGUGAAAUCCUAUGGCUUAACCAUAGAACUGCAUUUGAAACUGUUAUUCUAGAGUAUGGGAGAGGUA
This 305-nucleotide ribosomal RNA is filed under the name uncultured bacterium. RNAcentral's name for it is "bacterial SSU rRNA". It matches the Rfam family "Bacterial small subunit ribosomal RNA", at positions 337 to 659 of the family's 1533-position model. The record is from RNAcentral.